Non-coding RNA from Oryctolagus cuniculus (rabbit), 83 nucleotides. The record is from Rfam. Lineage: Eukaryota; Metazoa; Chordata; Mammalia; Lagomorpha; Leporidae.
GCUCAGGCUGUGAUUUCAAGCUGGGGGGUGUUUUUGUAACUAGGUAGAAAGCACCCCUGUGGCUUGAACUUCACAGUUUGACA